UGCUAAUUUGAUUUUGCACCUCAAAAUUACUGUUUCCAAGAUUUACGCAAAUAACAAGGGGGGAGGGGGGCUCUUGCGCAAAAUGUUGCAAGAACAAUAGCAAAAGUAGAAAUUGGUUACUUUUCGGCAUUAGCAAGGGGCCAGUCUGCAGAGUAUGGCAUGUGCACACCGGAGAUAUUUUUGAGCAAAACCUGUUGCACACCGGGUAUUUUUGGGUGUGGCAACUAAGAUGGGUGUGGCUUGGUGUGGUCCCAUAAAAAAAUGUCAGCUGAUAAGAACAAGCACAGUUGUGUAUGAACAAUUUGAGAUAUCAUGAAUCUUACUUGACAAAUAUACAAAUAAAAACUUGCGCUAUCUUCAACAGUAUUCUUCACACGCAUUUUUACGGUGAAAUGCAAAUUCAUAAAUUUCAACCACAACAGAGGAAAAAAGUCGGUGCACACCAGCACACCAGACAUUUUGGUUGUGCACACCGGCACACCAGGCUUUUUGCUCGUGCACACCGGAGAUCUCGUCGAAAAGUGCCAUACUCUGCAGACCGGGCAAGGGGGGCUCAGCCCCUCUGACCCCUAGCAUUACACCCCUGCCGUCAGGGGUGCCUGAGAAUAGAAAAAUAAAACCUUUGUUCACCCAUUUUUAUAUCAUUAUCUGCCAAAGACAACAUAGGCUGCAAGGGACAAAGAAAUUUCAUUGCAGCCUGUGAGCUAUGAAGUGAUUACCAAGACAAGGGCUAUUGAAUGGUUAUGAAGUUAUUACCAGGACUGUUGAAUGUGACAGAUAUAAUCCUUUCACAUUGUACAAAACGCAGAUUGAAAUUAAUUUAAUGUUCAUGGUAUUUUAGAGGACUUGGGAUUGCUGUAAAGCUAUGGUCCUUUAUGCAGUGCAUAGAGAUGGCACACCCAAGAUGCAGUCAUUGUGUCUUUGAAGGCCAACUUAAAAACUAGAUGUAUUCAAUUUAAUUAUGGAAAAACUGAUAGUUCUGAUGCACCUGGCAUUUUUGGGUAAUCUUUUAAGCACCUGCACCUGAGGUGUGGUGCUAUUGGCCCACCCCGGAUCUUGUCAUAAGUCAUACUGUGCAAACUGGGUUAUUGUACAAACUGCCUAUUACUUAUGAUACUAAACCAGUUCCAUCAAGCAGAUGGUUAAAAUUGUGUUUAGGUUUAAAUUCAUACAUGUUUCCAUACUGUCAUAGUCAUAUUUUUUUAAAAAAAUCAACACUUUGAAACUCUGACAUCAACAUAUUAAAACUGUAAAAUUUUGUAUAUAACUGUUAGACUGUCACAUUCCUCAUUCUGACCAACAUGGUUUAGUAUUUUCUUUUCUUGAUUUUUUCAACUUAGUGGCAAUGAAAAUACAUGUUUUUAUACUAUAAUAAUGAUAAAAAAAUAGUGAUAAUAAUAAGUAUUUAAGAGACCCAUCAAAGAUGGCUUUUCACUGCUAAAGUUUAAAUCUUACAAACAAUGUCUUGGUUGUACCAAACUUAAAAAUGGCUUUAAAAAAGCAAAUAUUUUGAGUCAUACUAAAAUCUUGAGUAUUUUGCAGUUUGAUUUAAAGUAUUUACAGAAAAAGGAAUACCAUAGACUUUAAAGAAUUAUUUUUAGUUUUAUUAUUUUAUUCCUGAUAAAUGCCCAUGAAAAUUCAAGCACUGUUUUCUUAUUUGGUGGCCCAGAGUUUUACUAAUUGUCCAUUCUCUAGUUUGUUUAAUGGCAUCCAGACUGUUCUUUUUUUAAUGGCAUCCCAUUGCCCACAUUACUUUUGGAAGCUUGACAAUAACACAUAUCAGAAGCCAGCUCCCAACUCUGGGGCUAGGCCCAGAGUAAAAAAUGCACCAAUCAAGUGCUUCAUAUUAUCUUCUAUUCAAAUGCAAGUUGCAUUUGGAUUGGUGAAUUCUGCCCGAAUUUGCAUGCAUGCGGGGCCAGUUACAAUUAUGGACAAGGAAUUCAAUUCAGCUGUAGCUAAAUGUAUCUUGUUGCAAUAAGCUAUGUAGAUCUUACAGUGGUUUUAUUUCACAACUAGCUUUUUCAGGAUGCAAUUUUAAGGAAAAGAAUACAGAGUUAAGUCAGAAUCAGAAUAUGUUUUGCCCAUCUUCAAAUACAGCUCAAAAUGGAAAGUUUGGACCCGCUUCAUGCAUGUAAACCCCAAUUACCCAUAAAUAUUCUGACAGCAUAAAGUAUUGUGCAUCCAAAUGCAAUCUUUUUAAUUGUAUAUUGUGUUCUCACAGCAUAUGACAAUGCAUUGGCAAAUUUAACUGUUUGGCACUGUAAAUAAUUUUUCAUUGCCAUACUGCGAGAAUUACUGUUAAACAAUGUUUCUUGCUUGUUUUUCAACAAUUGGAAAAGAAAUUCAUUGCCAUCCAAAACAAAUUAAAUGCUCAUAUACAUAAUAUGCAGAACUAUUGAUUGCCCCGUUGUGAGUUUGAAGAAUGGAUAUUUUGAAUCUGUUUCAUAAUCAUUUGAUUUGCUUUACUUCAAAACGAAAAUCAUCCAGGACCUUGAUAAACUGCCUAUAAGUGAAAUGAGGCGGCUUAAUAUAGUACCAAUAUGUUUCACUCAGGGGUUGUGCUAAAAAAUUUCUUAGGGGGAUGUCUAGUGCCAGAUUGCCAAGUAGAGAUUUUUCAAUUAUUUUAAGUAAAGGCAUACCCCGUGUUCGAAAUCUGAAGGAAACAUCCCUUCUUUUCAGUUAAUUUUUGAAAAUCUGUCUUCGUUUCGAUGGUCUUCAUUCAAGAAUUAUAUUCUCUCUAUAUGCUCUUAUAUUUUGAUUUCUUUAGCACUAGCGAUUUAGCUAACCGAAAUACACAGUCAUGCGCAUUUCCGAAUUAGCCUUGCUUCUGAUACUAGCGUUAACGAUGGACAAGAGCGUCCGAUAGUUUAUAAAUUCCUGUUACAAGGUACCAGGACAUGGCGAAAUUUUCCCUGCACGCCCUUGCUUCGAGUUAUAUUUUUCAAAAAACUCGAAAACUUUCGAAAGGCAAUUAUUAAUAUUCGCACAGAACUAAAAUUGAUUACAACCAUCAAUUGACAUCUCGAAAGAACGUUUGCAUAAAAAGUUCGCUGUGCUUAUGGUUUCGGCGUCAUAGAUUUUACAGUUUAGUUUAGUUUCACCAUUGAAUUGAGAAAAACUAUAUCAAUGAUGUAUCAAAUUUCCACCAGUUUUUGCUAAUUCCUCGUAAUUGUAUAAUUUGUUAAUUGGUUUUCUGAAAUCUUCAAAAACGCCCAAGACCUAUGAUUAACCAAGACUUAUGACUAACGCAAAUUAGUUUCUUUGAUGGGGAGAUGAGAUGCAGCAAGUUCUUGAGUAUGAAAUGAGUACCCCCGUUUUGGGGCCAUUGCACAUGCGUAUUAUAUAUUCUGAGUCAAAGAGGCAUAGAACCCCCCGAGAAAGGAACAAACAGAACUUUGCGAUUGAAUUUCAAAACCAAGUGAGCGGUCGGAGCUUAAUAUUCACAUUGACCUGGGAGUUUGAUCAUAGCAGAAAUAUCUUUCAUACUGAAAAGCCUGACUGGAUUCUCUGUUGUUUUAUGUUUUUUGUUGGUAUUAAGGCUCACUUUACUUCCAAAGGUACAAAAUUAAAGGUUUUGGAAUAUGACUUGCAAAGUUACUCAGAGCUCAACAACUUGGAGUUUAGCUAAAAUACUUGUUGGAACUUGUAUUUGAAAUUCGAUAGACAAGCUUUUGCAAGCAACUUCCAAGCGGCCAUUGAAUAGCAAUUGUUCUCAUAUAAAAGCCACAUUUUUCAAGCCACACACAUGAGGAUAAAUAGAGGCGGGCCGUCACGAGGUUGGAAAAGGGGGGGGGGGUCUUAUAAAAAAGAGUGUACAUGGAAACUCGCCAAAAUGAUAUCUAAUUGUGUUCUAGAUAACCUGUGAAGAUAACAAGAUGACCAUAUUUUUCACCUGGAUUACCAGACAGCCAACAUGAAAUAAGAAGGCCAUACAUCAUACAGUGCCUAAAAAGACCUAAAGAAAGUAUUGCUGCUGAAGGUUGUUGUGAUAGUCCGGCUAAUCAUCUACGUGAAUGAAUUCAACUACAGGUACGAUAAAGGUUCAGAUAGAACUUGGAAGGUCACUGAAAAGUCUUGAAAUGAUCAAAUAAAGGUAUUUUUUAGUAUUUAUAGUUGUUUGGGGCUAGGAAAAGUUUUUAAAAAACUUCAUUUAUUUUUUAUUUUUCUGCAUGUUUGGGGUCAUACAUUUUUGAAGAAAUGACCAAAUUCUAUUUUGUGGUAUACGGGCCUGAAAUUUAUAGAAACCUUAUCAGAUGGUGUUGCAAGCAUAAAAUAAGGCAUUUUA
Molecule: non-coding RNA, 4285 nt
Organism: Rhopilema esculentum
Lineage: Eukaryota; Metazoa; Cnidaria; Scyphozoa; Rhizostomeae; Rhizostomatidae
Source: RefSeq, a predicted model, not a curated record